Molecule: transfer RNA, 76 nt
Filed under: Actinomycetes bacterium
Lineage: Bacteria; Bacillati; Actinomycetota; Actinomycetes
Description: Actinobacteria bacterium tRNA-Ala
Rfam family: tRNA
About the family: Transfer RNA (tRNA) molecules are approximately 80 nucleotides in length.
Source: RNAcentral
GGGGCCAUAGCUCAGUUGGGAGAGCGUCUGGCUGGCAGCCAGAAGGUCACGGGUUCGAGUCCCGUUGGCUCCAUCA